Molecule: ribosomal RNA, 187 nt
Filed under: Brevibacterium casei S18
Lineage: Bacteria; Bacillati; Actinomycetota; Actinomycetes; Micrococcales; Brevibacteriaceae
Description: partial 16S ribosomal RNA
Rfam family: Bacterial small subunit ribosomal RNA
Source: RNAcentral
UUUUUAUGGAGAGUUUGAUCCUGGCUCAGGACGAACGCUGGCUGCGUGCUUAACACAUGCAAGUCGAACGCUGAAGCCUGGUGCUUGCACCGGGUGGAUGAGUGGCGAACGGGUGAGUAACACGUGAGUAACCUGCCCCUGACUUCGGGAUAAGCCCGGGAAACUGGGUCUAAUACCGGAUACGACC